CCUACGGGAGGCAGCAGUGAGGAAUAUUGCGCAAUGGGCGAAAGCCUGACGCAGCAACGCCGCGUGGGUGAUGAAGCUCUUCGGAGUGUAAAACCCUGUUAGGAGGGACGAACGAACCCGACGCGAACAGUGUCGGGCGCUGACGGUACCUCCAGAGAAAGCCCCGGCCAACUCCGUGCCAGCAGCCGCGGUAAUACGGGGGGGGGCGAGCGUUGUCCGGAAUCAUUGGGCGUAAAGGGCACGUAGGCGGGGUGGCAAGUCGGGGGUGAAAACCAACGGCUCAACUGUUGGCCUGCCUCCGAAACUGCCAUUCUUGAGUGCGGAAGAGGGAAGUGGAAUUCCUGGUGUAGCGGUGAAAUGCGUAGAUAUCAGGAAGAACACCGGUAGCGAAGGCGGCUUCCUGGUCCGUAACUGACGCUGAGGCGCGAAAGCGUGGGGAGCAAACAGGAUUAGAUACCCCAGUAGU
This 466-nucleotide ribosomal RNA is filed under the name uncultured bacterium. RNAcentral's name for it is "partial 16S ribosomal RNA". It matches the Rfam family "Bacterial small subunit ribosomal RNA", at positions 338 to 794 of the family's 1533-position model. The record is from RNAcentral.